AUAGCGUAUAUUAAAGUUGUUGCAGUUAAAAAGCUCGUAGUUGAACCUUGGGCCUGGCCGGCCGGUCUGCCUCACCGCAUGCACUGGUUUGGCUGGGUCUUUCCUUCUGGCAAGCCGCAUGCCCUUCACUGGGUGUGUUGGGGAACCAGGACUUUUACUUUGAAAAAAUUAGAGUGUUCAAAGCAGGCAUUGGCUCGAAUACAUUAGCAUGGAAUAAUAGAAUAGGACGUGUGGUUCUAUUUUGUUGGUUUCUAGGACCAUCGUAAUGAUUAAUAGGGAUAGUCGGGGGCAUCAGUAUUCAAUCGUCAGAGGUGAAAUUCUUGGAUCGAUUGAAGACUAACUACUG
Molecule: ribosomal RNA, 346 nt
Filed under: uncultured eukaryote
Lineage: Eukaryota
Description: SSU rRNA
Rfam family: Eukaryotic small subunit ribosomal RNA
Source: RNAcentral